AGCAGUCGCCGCGGGAAUACGUAGGGUGCAAGCGUUAAUCGGAAUUACUGGGCGUAAAGCGUGCGCAGGCGGUUUUGUAAGACAGAGGUGAAAUCCCCGGGCUCAACCUGGGAACUGCCUUUGUGACUGCAAGGCUAGAGUACGGCAGAGGGGGAUGGAAUUCCGCGUGUAGCAGUGAAAUGCGUAGAUAUGCGGAGGAACACCGAUGGCGAAGGCAAUCCCCUGGGCCUGUACUGACGCUCAUGCACGAAAGCGUGGGGAGCAAACAGGAUUAGAUACCCCUGUAGUCCCUGUCUCUUAUAC
RNAcentral lists this ribosomal RNA (303 nucleotides) under uncultured bacterium. Its description in RNAcentral is "partial 16S ribosomal RNA". It matches the Rfam family "Bacterial small subunit ribosomal RNA", at positions 507 to 807 of the family's 1533-position model. The record is from RNAcentral.